This 271-nucleotide ribosomal RNA is filed under the name Bacillus subtilis. Its description in RNAcentral is "partial 16S ribosomal RNA". It matches the Rfam family "Bacterial small subunit ribosomal RNA", at positions 609 to 880 of the family's 1533-position model. The record is from RNAcentral. Lineage: Bacteria; Bacillati; Bacillota; Bacilli; Caryophanales; Bacillaceae.
UCAACCGGGGAGGGUCAUUGGAAAAUGGGGAACUUGAGUGCAGAAGAGGAGAGUGGAAUUCACGUGUAGCGGUGAAAUGCGUAGAGAUGUGGAGGAACACCAGUGGCGAAGGCGACUCUUGGUCUGUAACUGACGCUGAGGAGCGAAAGCGUGGGGAGCGAACAGGAUUAGAUACCCUGGUAGUCCACGCCGUAAACGAUGAGUGCUAAGUGUUAGGGGGUUUCCGCCCGUUAGUGCUGCAGCUAACGCAUUAAGCACUCCGCCUGGGGAG